Molecule: ribosomal RNA, 388 nt
Filed under: Vibrio renipiscarius
Lineage: Bacteria; Pseudomonadati; Pseudomonadota; Gammaproteobacteria; Vibrionales; Vibrionaceae
Description: bacterial LSU rRNA
Rfam family: Bacterial large subunit ribosomal RNA
Source: RNAcentral
CCAAGGGUAUGGCUGUUCGCCAUUUAAAGUGGUACGCGAGCUGGGUUUAGAACGUCGUGAGACAGUUCGGUCCCUAUCUGCCGUGGGCGUUGGAAAAUUGAAAGGGGCUGCUCCUAGUACGAGAGGACCGGAGUGGACGAACCUCUGGUGUUCGGGUUGUCACGCCAGUGGCAUUGCCCGGUAGCUAAGUUCGGAAUCGAUAAGCGCUGAAAGCAUCUAAGCGCGAAGCGAGCCUUGAGAUGAGUUUUCCCUGGCACUUUAAGUGCCCUAAAGGGUUGUUCGAGACUAGAACGUUGAUAGGCAGGGUGUGUAAGCGCUGUGAGGCGUUGAGCUAACCUGUACUAAUUGCCCGUGAGGCUUAACCAUACAACACCCAAGGGGUUUUGUA